UACGUAGGUGGCAAGCGUUGUCCGGAUUUACUGGGCGUAAAGAGCGCGCAGGCGGUCGUCCAAGUCGCGUGUGAAAGCCCCCGGCUCAACUGGGGAGGGUCACGCGAUACUGGUCGACUCGAAGGCAGGAGAGGGUAGUGGAAUUCCCGGUGUAGUGGUGAAAUUCGUAGAUAUCGGGAGGAACACCGGUGGCGAAGGCGGCGACCUGGGACAAUACUGACGCUGAGGUGCGAAAGCGUGGGGAGCAAACAGG
This 253-nucleotide ribosomal RNA is filed under the name uncultured bacterium. RNAcentral's name for it is "partial 16S ribosomal RNA". It matches the Rfam family "Bacterial small subunit ribosomal RNA", at positions 524 to 776 of the family's 1533-position model. The record is from RNAcentral.